This 532-nucleotide ribosomal RNA is filed under the name Pseudomonas viridiflava. RNAcentral's name for it is "bacterial SSU rRNA". It matches the Rfam family "Bacterial small subunit ribosomal RNA", at positions 60 to 587 of the family's 1533-position model. The record is from RNAcentral. Lineage: Bacteria; Pseudomonadati; Pseudomonadota; Gammaproteobacteria; Pseudomonadales; Pseudomonadaceae.
AGUCGAGCGGUAGAGAGAAGCUUGCUUCUCUUGAGAGCGGCGGACGGGUGAGUAAUGCCUAGGAAUCUGCCUGGUAGUGGGGGAUAACGCUCGGAAACGGACGCUAAUACCGCAUACGUCCUACGGGAGAAAGCAGGGGACCUUCGGGCCUUGCGCUAUCAGAUGAGCCUAGGUCGGAUUAGCUAGUUGGUGAGGUAAUGGCUCACCAAGGCGACGAUCCGUAACUGGUCUGAGAGGAUGAUCAGUCACACUGGAACUGAGACACGGUCCAGACUCCUACGGGAGGCAGCAGUGGGGAAUAUUGGACAAUGGGCGAAAGCCUGAUCCAGCCAUGCCGCGUGUGUGAAGAAGGUCUUCGGAUUGUAAAGCACUUUAAGUUGGGAGGAAGGGCAGUAACCUAAUACGUUAUUGUUUUGACGUUACCGACAGAAUAAGCACCGGCUAACUCUGUGCCAGCAGCCGCGGUAAUACAGAGGGUGCAAGCGUUAAUCGGAAUUACUGGGCGUAAAGCGCGCGUAGGUGGUUUGUUAAG